Molecule: ribosomal RNA, 252 nt
Filed under: uncultured bacterium
Lineage: Bacteria
Description: partial 16S ribosomal RNA
Rfam family: Bacterial small subunit ribosomal RNA
Source: RNAcentral
UACGAAGGGGGCUAGCGUUGCUCGGAAUCACUGGGCGUAAAGCGCACGUAGGCGGACUCUUAAGUCGGUGGUGAAAUCCUGGAGCUCAACUCCAGAACUGCCUUCGAUACUGAGAGUCUCGAGUCCGGGAGAGGUGAGUGGAACUGCGAGUGUAGAGGUGAAAUUCGUAGAUAUUGGGAGGAACACCAGUGGCGAAGGCGGCUCACUGGACCGGUUCUGACGCUGAGGCACGAAAGCGUGGGAGCAAACAGG